RNAcentral lists this long non-coding RNA (1055 nucleotides) under Mus musculus (house mouse). Its description in RNAcentral is "long non-coding RNA chr2:112315471-112316526". Lineage: Eukaryota; Metazoa; Chordata; Mammalia; Rodentia; Muridae. The record is from RNAcentral.
CAUCUGCAUAAUGAUUUUUUAUUUACUGUUUAUUGUGGUAAUAUAUAUAGGACACAAAGUUUCUUGCUUUAGUCAGUUUUCACGUGUAUAUUUCUUGGCAGUUAUUACCUGCCCUUACUCCUAAAUUUCCUGAAUUUCAUAUCAUCCAAACUUUAGCAAUAAUACCCAUCCUUCCUUCAGCCAGUCCCGUUAGCACUCAUCUUUCUGUCUAUAACUUCGCAUGUGACCAAUAUUCUGCAUAAAUGUAAUUCGAUAAUAGGUGUUCUUUGUCUGCCUUUUUCUAUUAGCAUACUGUGUUUGGGUUUCAUCUGUGUUUUACAGAGCGUGGUCAGAAUUCCAUUCUUUUUAUGGGGAUAAUGCUGCAGCCUAUAGGACACCACACUUCAUUGACUCCUCCAUCUGCCGGAGGACAGCUGGGACGGCUUUUGCCUUUUACUUUUAUGAAUAAUGCCACUGGAAACUUGGUUACAUGUAUCUAUCUGAGUCCCCACUUUCAAGCGGUUUGGGGGAUAGAUGUGAAAUUUUUGGGUCAUAUAACUCAGUAAUUCAGUAUUUAAUGUAUAGAAGAACAUGAUCAUUGUUUUACAGUAGUUUUGUUCUUUUUUUUUUUUUUUUACUCUUUUGUUAAUGUUCAUUUAUUUAUUUAUUUAUUUAUUUAUUUUACGUUUUUGCUUGUCACCUUGUUUGACUUUUGUUGCUUGAGUUUUAAAUAAAUGUUUGUUUUGGUCAUUCAUUUUUUUCCUAUCCUUUUCAAUUGUUUGUUUUUCAGACCCGAGUCAGAACUCCAUCACAGGGGAGCACAGCCAGCUGUUAGGUAUAGUAUUGCUCUGGGAAGUAUCUCUGUAAAGUCUCCCUCUUUGUCCCUGAAGACAUUACCUACUUCCCUCCAUUGCUAUUUUGAUUCUUUCACUUUGCUCUUCACUCCUCAAGCUUCUCACUGUUUAUUUACAAUUUGGUAAGAUAUAUGAAGCUACUUUUGUAAUUAAUUAUUAAAAUCAGUAGUCAGUACAAUUUUUAAUUAUAUUUUAAAAGGUAACUUUACAUAAUCUGUAGCU